GAUGAACGCUGGCGGCGUGCCUAAUACAUGCAAGUCGAGCGAACGGACGAGAAGCUUGCUUCUCUGAUGUUAGCGGCGGACGGGUGAGUAACACGUGGAUAACCUACCUAUAAGACUGGGAUAACUUCGGGAAACCGGAGCUAAUACCGGAUAAUAUUUUGAACCGCAUGGUUCAAAAGUAAAAGACGGUCUUGCUGUCACUUAUAGAUGGAUCCGCGCUGCAUUAGCUAGUUGGUAAGGUAACGGCUUACCAAGGCAACGAUGCAUAGCCGACCUGAGAGGGUGAUCGGCCACACUGGAACUGGGACACGGUCCAGACUCCUACGGGAGGCAGCAGUAGGGAAUCUUCCGCAAUGGGCGAAAGCCUGACGGAGCAACGCCGCGUGAGUGAUGAAGGUCUUCGGAUCGUAAAACGCUGUUAGUAGGGAAGAACAUAUGUGUAAGUAACUGUGCACAUCUUGACGGUACCGAAUCAGAAAGCCACGGCUAACUACGUG
Molecule: ribosomal RNA, 497 nt
Filed under: uncultured bacterium
Lineage: Bacteria
Description: partial 16S ribosomal RNA
Rfam family: Bacterial small subunit ribosomal RNA
Source: RNAcentral